Molecule: ribosomal RNA, 467 nt
Filed under: Staphylococcus caprae
Lineage: Bacteria; Bacillati; Bacillota; Bacilli; Caryophanales; Staphylococcaceae
Description: bacterial SSU rRNA
Rfam family: Bacterial small subunit ribosomal RNA
Source: RNAcentral
UGCAAGUCGAGCGAACAGACGAGGAGCUUGCUCCUUUGACGUUAGCGGCGGACGGGUGAGUAACACGUGGAUAACCUACCUAUAAGACUGGGAUAACUUCGGGAAACCGGAGCUAAUACCGGAUAACAUGUUGAACCGCAUGGUUCAACAGUGAAAGACGGUCUUGCUGUCACUUAUAGAUGGAUCCGCGCCGCAUUAGCUAGUUGGUAAGGUAACGGCUUACCAAGGCAACGAUGCGUAGCCGACCUGAGAGGGUGAUCGGCCACACUGGAACUGAGACACGGUCCAGACUCCUACGGGAGGCAGCAGUAGGGAAUCUUCCGCAAUGGGCGAAAGCCUGACGGAGCAACGCCGCGUGAGUGAAGAAGGUCUUCGGAUCGUAAAACUCUGUUAUUAGGGAAGAACAAAUGUGUAAGUAACUAUGCACGUCUUGACGGUACCUAAUCAGAAAGCCACGGCUAACUACA